Molecule: ribosomal RNA, 433 nt
Filed under: uncultured bacterium
Lineage: Bacteria
Description: partial 16S ribosomal RNA
Rfam family: Bacterial small subunit ribosomal RNA
Source: RNAcentral
AACGAACGCUGGCGGCAUGCCUAACACAUGCAAGUCGAACGAGACCUUCGGGUCUAGUGGCGCACGGGUGCGUAACGCGUGGGAACCUGCCCUUAGGUUCGGAAUAACUCCCCGAAAGGGGUGCUAAUACCGGAUAAUGUCUUCGGACCAAAGAUUUAUCGCCUUUGGAGGGGCCCGCGUUGGCUUAGCUAGUUGGUAGGGUAAAAGCCUACCAAGGCGACGAUCCAUAGCUGGUCUGAGAGGAUGAUCAGCCACACUGGGACUGAGACACGGCCCAGACUCCUACGGGAGGCAGCAGUGGGGAAUAUUGGACAAUGGGCGAAAGCCUGAUCCAGCAAUGCCGCGUGAGUGAUGAAGGCGUUAGGGUUGUAAAGCUCUUUUACCCGGGAUGAUAAUGACAGUACCGGGAGAAUAAGCUCCGGCUAACUCCGUG